UUUAUACGUCGAAUUUUGGUCGCGUCGAACGCAAUUAAGACAAUAGAUAAUGAGAUGAUAAACCUCAUUAAGCUUCAUUAUCUAUUGUUUGAAUUGCAUUCGACGCGACCGAAAUUCGACGUAUAAA
Molecule: non-coding RNA, 127 nt
Organism: Paramuricea clavata
Lineage: Eukaryota; Metazoa; Cnidaria; Anthozoa; Malacalcyonacea; Plexauridae
Source: the annotation of a GenBank genome assembly